GACAGAGGAUGCAAGCGUUAUCCGGAAUGAUUGGGCGUAAAGCGUCUGUAGGUGGCUUUUCAAGUCCGCCGUCAAAUCCCAGGGCUCAACCCUGGACAGGCGGUGGAAACUACCAAGCUGGAGUACGGUAGGGGCAGAGGGAAUUUCCGGUGGAGCGGUGAAAUGCGUAGAGAUCGGGAAGAACAUCGGUGGCGAAGGCGGCCUGCUGGGCUCUUGCUGACACUGAUGCGCGACAGCGUGGGGAGCAAACAGG
Molecule: ribosomal RNA, 253 nt
Filed under: uncultured bacterium
Lineage: Bacteria
Description: partial 16S ribosomal RNA
Rfam family: Bacterial small subunit ribosomal RNA
Source: RNAcentral